UGGACUUGACAUGUUAGUGUAAGCCCGAUGAAAGUCGGGCCGUCUGCGAGCUUGCUCAAAGACACUAUCAC
Molecule: ribosomal RNA, 71 nt
Filed under: uncultured bacterium
Lineage: Bacteria
Description: partial 16S ribosomal RNA
Source: RNAcentral